AUUGAACGCUGGCGGCAGGCCUAACACAUGCAAGUCGAGCGGAUGAAGGGAGCUUGCUCCUGGAUUCAGCGGCGGACGGGUGAGUAAUGCCUAGGAAUCUGCCUGGUAGUGGGGGAUAACGUCCGGAAACGGGCGCUAAUACCGCAUACGUCCUGAGGGAGAAAGUGGGGGAUCUUCGGACCUCACGCUAUCAGAUGAGCCUAGGUCGGAUUAGCUAGUUGGUGGGGUAAAGGCCUACCAAGGCGACGAUCCGUAACUGGUCUGAGAGGAUGAUCAGUCACACUGGCACUUAGACACGGUCCAGACUCCUACGGGAGGCAGCAGUGGGGAAUAUUGGACAAUGGGCGAAAGCCUGAUCCAGCCAUGCCGCGUGUGUGAAGAAGGUCUUCGGAUUGUAAAGCACUUUAAGUUGGGAGGAAGGGCAGUAAGUUAAUACCUUGCUGUUUUGACGUUACCAACAGAAUAAGCACCGGCUAACUUCGUG
RNAcentral lists this ribosomal RNA (484 nucleotides) under uncultured bacterium. RNAcentral describes it as "partial 16S ribosomal RNA". It matches the Rfam family "Bacterial small subunit ribosomal RNA", at positions 30 to 507 of the family's 1533-position model. The record is from RNAcentral.